AUUCAAGUAGCUUAAGAUAGAGCAUGACACUGAAGAUGUCAAAGUAAUUGUAUAAUUCUUGAAUG
RNAcentral lists this transfer RNA (65 nucleotides) under Bactrocera fulvicauda. RNAcentral describes it as "tRNA-Phe". It matches the Rfam family "tRNA". Rfam says of the family: Transfer RNA (tRNA) molecules are approximately 80 nucleotides in length. Their secondary structure includes four short double-helical elements and three loops (D, anti-codon, and T loops). The record is from RNAcentral. Lineage: Eukaryota; Metazoa; Arthropoda; Insecta; Diptera; Tephritidae.